GAUGAACGCUGGCGGCGUGCCUAACACAUGCAAGUCGAACGAAGCGAUUUAACGGAAGUUUUCGGAUGGAAGUUGAAUUGACUGAGUGGCGGACGGGUGAGUAACGCGUGGGUAACCUGCCUUGUACUGGGGGACAACAGUUAGAAAUGACUGCUAAUACCGCAUAAGCGCACAGUAUCGCAUGAUACGGUGUGAAAAACUCCGGUGGUACAAGAUGGACCCGCGUCUGAUUAGCUAGUUGGUGGGGUAACGGCUCACCAAGGCGACGAUCAGUAGCCGACCUGAGAGGGUGACCGGCCACAUUGGGACUGAGACACGGCCCAA
Molecule: ribosomal RNA, 324 nt
Filed under: uncultured bacterium
Lineage: Bacteria
Description: bacterial SSU rRNA
Rfam family: Bacterial small subunit ribosomal RNA
Source: RNAcentral